UACGAAGGGUGCAAACGUUGCUCGGAAUCAUUGGGCGUAAAGCGCACGUAGGCGGCCCAGCAAGUUGGAUGUGAAAUCCCUCGGCUCAACCGAGGACGUGCAUCCAAAACUGCUGGGCUUGAGUACUGAAGAGGAUCGCGGAAUUCCCGGUGUAGAGGUGAAAUUCGUAGAUAUCGGGAGGAACACCAGUGGCGAAGGCGGCGAUCUGGGUCGAUACUGACGCUGAGGUGCGAAAGCGUGGGGAGCAAACAGG
This 253-nucleotide ribosomal RNA is filed under the name uncultured bacterium. RNAcentral describes it as "partial 16S ribosomal RNA". It matches the Rfam family "Bacterial small subunit ribosomal RNA", at positions 524 to 776 of the family's 1533-position model. The record is from RNAcentral.